Molecule: ribosomal RNA, 200 nt
Filed under: uncultured bacterium
Lineage: Bacteria
Description: partial 16S ribosomal RNA
Rfam family: Bacterial small subunit ribosomal RNA
Source: RNAcentral
GACAAACGCUGGCGGCGUGCCUAAUACAUGCAAGUCGAACGACGAAAGCCUUCGGGCAAGUAAGAGUGGCGCACGGGCGAGGAACACGUAGAUAAUCUGCCCUUCAGUGGGGAAUAACUCUCCGAAAGGAGUGCUAAUACCGCAUAAGACCACAAGGCCUGCGGGCCGAAGGGGUUAAAGGAUUUAUUCGCUGAAGGAUG